AACCGCCGUAUACCGAUCGGUACGUACGGUGGUGUGAGAGGUCGGGGAUUAAUCAUCCCCUCCUACUCGAU
Molecule: non-coding RNA, 71 nt
Filed under: Bacillus sp. es.034
Lineage: Bacteria; Bacillati; Bacillota; Bacilli; Caryophanales; Bacillaceae
Also listed under: 1 other name
Source: RNAcentral